AAUACGCCCGCGUUAGGGAUUGAAGUGGCAUCCUUUUUUGUUUUUCACAAAAAAGAUAUAACGUAAAGCCCGCUCGAAC
RNAcentral lists this small RNA (79 nucleotides) under Tenacibaculum todarodis. Its description in RNAcentral is "Tenacibaculum sp. LPB0136 Flavo-1 RNA". It matches the Rfam family "Flavo-1 RNA". Lineage: Bacteria; Pseudomonadati; Bacteroidota; Flavobacteriia; Flavobacteriales; Flavobacteriaceae. The record is from Rfam by way of RNAcentral.